Non-coding RNA from Callithrix jacchus (white-tufted-ear marmoset), 370 nucleotides. The record is from RefSeq and is a predicted model, not a curated record. NCBI's taxonomy places the organism in Eukaryota, Metazoa, Chordata, Mammalia, Primates, Cebidae.
UGGCCAGCCGCUAUGUCUGCACCCCCACCAGCCGGCAGCAGUGGCUUGGAAAAACGCUGGCGGAGGUGUCUUAGGCGGCCCCUGGAAAGAAGGCUGCGGGCCACAAGCAGGGCAGGAGCCCUAUCGUCCUGACUUCAGCGGCUCCCUGAAGCGGUUUUCCUAUUCCGGUCCUCUGAAGGGGAAGGAAGCUUCAGAAAACGAGGAACUCUUUCCUGCCAUCCAAGAGCCAAUAAAAGAAAACAGGAUAAGGAUAUAACGGAAAUAAUUUUCAGAAAGAAAUCUUCUCAAAGACGGAGAUUUCCCAUAUUGGUUGGUCGGGUCUCGAAAAUGCAUUCUCGAAAUUUUCUUUGCGCUGGUCUUCGAAGCGCCU